AUGACCUUGUCGGCCGGGAACGGCCACUUCUUCUGCGACGAGCCCGUGUCGUGGUUGUCCACGAACGUGACCGCCUUCUCCGGCAACAAGCCGAUCAUCCCGGGAGCGUUGCCCUCCUUGUCACGCAUCCUCCACAGCUCGCCCUGCACCGCCGACUGCAGGAUGCCCUUGGUCGUGAAGUCGAACGCCAUGGCAGGGCCGCCGACCGCCUUCGCCCAGUUCACCAGCUCCUGCCGCUCCCCGUCCUGGUUGACGGCGGGCUUCCCGUCGCCGUCGUAG
This 279-nucleotide ribosomal RNA is filed under the name Triticum aestivum (bread wheat). Its description in RNAcentral is "partial small subunit ribosomal RNA". The record is from RNAcentral. Lineage: Eukaryota; Viridiplantae; Streptophyta; Magnoliopsida; Poales; Poaceae.